Molecule: long non-coding RNA, 281 nt
Filed under: Elaeis guineensis (African oil palm)
Lineage: Eukaryota; Viridiplantae; Streptophyta; Magnoliopsida; Arecales; Arecaceae
Description: long non-coding RNA (EGUI_LNC011606)
Source: RNAcentral
AUAUGCGCAAUAUAUGAAACUUUACAUCGAGUAAAUUGUAUUGGGAUAGUUGGUUUGAUUUUUCAAGUUCUGUGCAUGUCAGCACAAAUAUGGGCAGGAUAAUUUCUUAAAGAAGAGGUUUUUUUAAUAUUCAAGAUCUCGAUAACUUUAAUAUACAUCAUGUUCUGAUGGAUAACAGUAGUACAGUUAUGACCUUCUUCGAAGAAGAAAUGAAGGAUGUUUGCCCAGCUAUGCAAGGAGUAGAACACUUUUACAUUGACAUGCAUUAACUUUUUUUUAAA